GGGUUCGAUCCUGGCUCAGAUUGAACGCUGGCGGGAUGCUGCUACACUGAAGUCAGACAGCGGCACGGACUUCGGUCUGGUGGCGAGUGGCGAACGGAGCGAGUAAUGUAUCGGAGCGUGCCCGUAGCGGGGGAUAACUACGCGGCGUAGCUAAUACUGCAUACGCUAAGGAAAGCGGGGACCUUCGGGCCUCACUAUUGAAACGGCCGAUAUCGGAUUAGCUAGUUGGUGGGGUAACGGCCUCACCAAGGCGACGAUCCGUAGCUGGUUUUGAAGGACGACCAGCCACGCAGGACUGAGACACGGCCCAGACUCCUACGGGAGGCAGCAGUGGGGAAUUUUGGACAAUGGAAACCUGAUCCAGCCAUCCCGCGUGCGAUGAAGGCCUUCGGGUUGUAAAAACACUUUUGGCAGGAAAGAAACGGCACGGGAUAAUACCCCCAUUGCAACUGACAACCUGCAGAAUAAGCACCGGCUAACUACGUGCCCAGCAGUAAUACGUAAGUGCAAAAAGCGUUAAUCGGAAUUACUGGGCGCAAAGCGUGCGCAGGCGGUUCGGGGAAAGAAAGAUGAAAUCCCAGAGCUUAACUUUAGAACUGCAUUUUUAACUACCGAGCUAGAGUGUGUCAGAGGAGCGUUCACGUGUAGCAGUGACCGUAGAUAUGCGGAGAAACACCGAUGAAGAGGCGGCCUCCUGGGGAUUAACACUGACGCUCAUGCAAAGCGUGGGGAGCAAACAGGAUUAGAUACCCUGAAGUCCACGCUAAACGAUGUCAACUAGCUGCAGGGCCUUCUGGGCCGCAGGCAGCCCGCAAUAACGCGUGAAGUUGACCGCCUGGGAAAUGCUGGUCGCAAGAUUAAAGCUCCGAAAAAGGAAUUGACGGGGACCCACUGAAGCGGUGGAUGAUGUGGAUUAAUUCGAUGCAACGCGAAAACCUUACCUACCCUUGACAUGUCUGGAAUCCCGAAGAGAUUUGGAAUUUUACUCACGCAAGAGGGAACCGGAACACAGGUGCUGCAUGGCUGUCGUGGCUCAAAUACGACGAGAUGAUGGGUUAAGUCCCGCAACGAGCGCAACCCUGUGUUGGAUUUACUACGAAAGAGGGCACUCUAAUGAGACUGCCGGUAAACCGGAGGAAGGUGGGGAUAGCGUCAAGUCCUCAUGGCCCUUAUCGUGCGGGCUUCACCCCCGUCAUACAAUGGUCAGGACAACGGAGAUGCUGCAGCCCGCGAGGGGGAGCCAAUCCCGAAACCCCGAUCGUAGUCCGGAUCGCAGCCUGCAACUCGACUGCGUGAAGUCAGAUCCUUAUUAAUAAUCGCGGAUCCUUCGCACGGUGAACACGUUCCGGGUCUUGUACCGCCCGUCACACCAUGGGAGUGGGUUUUGCAGAAGUAGUUAGCCUAACGUAAGGAGGCGAUUUUGGUAGGAUUAGCGAGCUGGGGUGAAGUCGUAACAAAGGUAG
This 1463-nucleotide ribosomal RNA is filed under the name uncultured Bordetella sp. RNAcentral describes it as "partial 16S-23S ribosomal RNA intergenic spacer". It matches the Rfam family "Bacterial small subunit ribosomal RNA". Lineage: Bacteria; Pseudomonadati; Pseudomonadota; Betaproteobacteria; Burkholderiales; Alcaligenaceae. The record is from RNAcentral.